CGAGAGCGGUAGCGGCUCGUCGCUGCACACCCUUAUCCAGGUCGCUCGCGCUUUGGGGCGUGAGCAAUGGUUCGAUACCAUUGCUCCCGU
Molecule: transfer RNA, 90 nt
Filed under: Ralstonia chuxiongensis
Lineage: Bacteria; Pseudomonadati; Pseudomonadota; Betaproteobacteria; Burkholderiales; Burkholderiaceae
Description: tRNA-Asp
Source: RNAcentral